RNAcentral lists this ribosomal RNA (498 nucleotides) under uncultured bacterium. Its description in RNAcentral is "partial 16S ribosomal RNA". It matches the Rfam family "Bacterial small subunit ribosomal RNA", at positions 28 to 507 of the family's 1533-position model. The record is from RNAcentral.
GACGAACGCUGGCGGCGUGCCUAAUACAUGCAAGUCGAGCGGACGAAUCGAAAGCUUGCUUUUGAUUCGUUAGCGGCGGACGGGUGAGUAACACGUGGGCAACCUGCACUGUAGACGGGGAUAACACCGAGAAAUCGGUGCUAAUACCGGAUAACACGAAAUGUCGCAUGGCGUUUCGUUGAAAGACGGCGCAAGCUGCCGCUACAGGAUGGGCCCGCGGCGCAUUAGCUAGUUGGUGAGGUAACGGCUCACCAAGGCGACGAUACGUAGCCGACCUGAGAGGGUGAUCGGCCACACUGGGACUGAGACACGGCCCAGACUCCUACGGGAGGCAGCAGUAGGGAAUCUUCCGCAAUGGACGAAAGUCUGACGGAGCAACGCCGCGUGAGCGAAGAAGGCCUUCGGGUCGUAAAGCUCUGUUGUUAGGGAAGAACAAGUAACGCAGUAACUGGCGUUACCGUGACGUUACCUAACGAGAAAGCCACGGCUAACUACGUG